CAGGCUUAACACAUGCAAGUCGAGGGGCAGCAUGGUCUUAGCUUGCUAAGGCCGAUGGCGACCGGCGCACGGGUGAGUAACACGUAUCCAACCUGCCGUCUACUCUUGGACAGCCUUCUGAAAGGAAGAUUAAUACAAGAUGGCAUCAUGAGUCCGCAUGUUCACAUGAUUAAAGGUAUUCCGGUAGACGAUGGGGAUGCGUUCCAUUAGAUAGUAGGCGGGGUAACGGCCCACCUAGUCUUCGAUGGAUAGGGGUUCUGAGAGGAAGGUCCCCCACAUUGGAACUGAGACACGGUCCAAACUCCUACGGGAGGCAGCAGUGAGGAAUAUUGGUCAAUGGGCGAGAGCCUGAACCAGCCAAGUAGCGUGAAGGAUGACUGCCCUAUGGGUUGUAAACUUCUUUUAUAAAGGAAUAAAGUCGGGUAUGGAUACCCGUUUGCAUGUACUUUAUGAAUAAGGAUCGGCUAACUCCGUGCCAGCAGCCGCGGUAAUACGGAGGAUCCGAGCGUUAUCCGGAUUUAUUGGGUUUAAAGGGAGCGUAGAUGGAUGUUUAAGUCAGUUGUGAAAGUUUGCGGCUCAACCGUAAAAUUGCAGUUGAUACUGGAUAUCUUGAGUGCAGUUGAGGCAGGCGGAAUUCGUGGUGUAGCGGUGAAAUGCUUAGAUAUCACGAAGAACUCCGAUUGCGAAGGCAGCCUGCUAAGCUGCAACUGACAUUGAGGCUCGAAAGUGUGGGUAUCAAACAGGAUUAGAUACCCUGGUAGUCCACACGGUAAACGAUGAAUACUCGCUGUUUGCGAUAUACUGCAAGCGGCCAAGCGAAAGCGUUAAGUAUUCCACCUGGGGAGUACGCCGGCAACGGUGAAACUCAAAGGAAUUGACGGGGGCCCGCACAAGCGGAAGAACAUGUGGUUUAAUUCGAUGAUACGCGAGGAACCUUACCCGGGCUUAAAUUGCAGAUGAAUUACGGUGAAAGCCGUAAGCCGCAAGGCAUCUGUGAAGGUGCUGCAUGGUUGUCGUCAGCUCGUGCCGUGAGGUGUCGGCUUAAGUGCCAUAACGAGCGCAACCCUUGUUGUCAGUUACUAACAGGUUCCGCUGAGGACUCUGACAAGACUGCCAUCGUAAGAUGUGAGGAAGGUGGGGAUGACGUCAAAUCAGCACGGCCCUUACGUCCGGGGCUACACACGUGUUACAAUGGGGGGUACAGAGGGCCGCUACCACGCGAGUGGAUGCCAAUCCCAAAAACCUCUCUCAGUUCGGACUGGAGUCUGCAACCCGACUCCACGAAGCUGGAUUCGCUAGUAAUCGCGCAUCAGCCACGGCGCGGUGAAUACGUUCCCGGGCCUUGUACACACCGCCCGUCAAGCCAUGGGAGCCGGGGGUACCUGAAGUGCGUAACCGCGAGGAGCGCCCUAGGGUAAAACUGGUGACUGGGGCUAAGU
RNAcentral lists this ribosomal RNA (1439 nucleotides) under uncultured organism. RNAcentral describes it as "16S ribosomal RNA". It matches the Rfam family "Bacterial small subunit ribosomal RNA". The record is from RNAcentral.